AGGGCAAAGUCUGUAAAACAGUGGUGAGGCCGGCCAUGACGUACGGAUUAGAGACGGUGGCACUGAAGAAACAACAGGAAGCAGAACUGGAGGUGGCAGAAAUGAAGACAUUGAGGUUCUCGCUUGGACUGAGCAGGUCGGAUAGGAUUAGAAAUGAGCUCAUUAGAGGGACGGCCAAAGUUGGAUCUUUUGGAGACAAGGUUAGGGAGAGCAGACUUGGAUGGUUUAGACAUGUUCAGAGACGAGAGAGUGAGAAUAUUGGUAUAAGGGCCCUGAGGAUGGAGCUGCCAGGCAAAAGGGCGAGAGGAAGACCAAAGAGAAGGUUUAUGGAUGUGGUGAGGGAGGACAUGUUAGAGAGGAAGAUGCACGAGAUAGACUGAGAUGAAGAAGACUUGUAUGAUGGUCAAGGACGAACACCGUUCAAACAUAUGGACUAGGUUCCGCAUCUCUGUUGAGUCGGCCAACCGGACGGAGCUGCGGUCGCAAGGUGGUCUGUGGUUGUCACGAUUGCAACGGCAGAACCUGUCGGUGGACACCAGCGGUGAGGGAUGCUGUCAAGCUGCAGAAGGGGGACGAGGCUCAGUACCGGCCGGCCAAGCAGAAUCCAGUAAGGGUUGCUUUGAGAGUGUUGGGUACGGGGCCCUUGCACAACAGAUGUCAGCGUUUGUUCCGCGUUGCCAAGAAUAACUCCAACGGUUAGAUUCGACAAAGGCCGAGCUUUGCCACUCCGUACUUGGACAGAAUUAGUAGGUGGGGCGAUAAUCACUUAAUUGGAAUACCCUCUUGUCUUCAACAAACAACUGCAUUGAAAAGACCAGGAAGUAACAGUGGGGGUUUUUCAGGCCGCGCCCCCGAGAAGGUUGGGCGCACGCUUUAUUAACGAUCAACCACACGGCUAAGAGUCAACAAACGGCGCAGGCAUCGGCCCGAACCAGCAAAGAGUCCUUUCGAACUCCACUCAGAGCAGUGACAGCGUUAAUUCAUUUAGUGCGGGAAAGCCCAAGACGGGAGGGCAUCAUCAUGAUGAUCAAAGCUUUCAUUUUCAUACUUGUACUUCUUGCAAUCACGGCUGAGGAAAGGCAAGAGCACCACGGAAGUGCCAGGCGACUCCUCCAGAACACGGAUUCCGACGUCCAAACUAGCGCCCCAACCCGUCCACUUGGAACAGUUCCAGGCCUAACCCUCCCACCCCAAACAUGC
Long non-coding RNA from Syngnathoides biaculeatus (alligator pipefish), 1200 nucleotides. RefSeq lists it as uncharacterized. The transcript is spliced from 3 exons. Lineage: Eukaryota; Metazoa; Chordata; Actinopteri; Syngnathiformes; Syngnathidae. The record is from RefSeq and is a predicted model, not a curated record.